This is a long non-coding RNA of Aethalodelphis obliquidens (Pacific white-sided dolphin), 3431 nucleotides long. RefSeq lists it as uncharacterized. The transcript has 2 exons. NCBI's taxonomy places the organism in Eukaryota, Metazoa, Chordata, Mammalia, Artiodactyla, Delphinidae. The record is from RefSeq and is a predicted model, not a curated record.
CCCGGACUGCGCUCCGUGACCUUCGACGGUCCCCUUAAGGGGAACUAAGGUACCAAUUUGAGGAUUUCGUGCAAAGAGAAAUCCUGAUGUGGAAUGCUCCCUGCAAAGGGAGAUUUGAUGUAAGACGCCGCCUUGGGGCAACGGUCCAGGUCGAGUGGGACUCGGAAAUCACGUUUGGGCGGUUCUCCUCUAUAUGUUUCUCUUUUUCUUUUUUGAGCAUCCCUUUGCUGUUUCCUUUUAUGGUUUAUGUUUUAUGUGUGACUUCCAGCUGAUGAGGUGAAGGUUUGUUUUGAUUUGAGCGUGCUAAUAUCAAAUGUCUGUUACCAACUGCUCGAGCCAAAAUGGGAAGCGCUUCCUCUAAGGUUCCACCCACCUGGGAACACUCAGGGAAAAUUUUAAAUGACUGGUCCACCUAUAGCCAUGAUCCAAUGACAAAGGAAAUGGCCUGAAAAUGGGUCUCCUACAAUUAGAUCUUUAUGGCCACGGGAUGGGAAAAAUGGACUGAGGUUCCCUUAUGUUCAGGACUUUAUGCCCCUUUUAUUAUAAUCCUGCUGUAGGUGGCCCUAGAAGCCUGAGGAAUCAGAAAAGAAAAGAAAAGAAAAGAAAAGAAAAGAAAAGAAACGAAACUCUCCUGACAUUCUAAAGGAUCCUCUUCUAACUUCUCCCAACUCUCAGGGGAGUGGGAAGGUUUCCCCAGUCCUGCAAGUUCCCUCACCCCCAGAUUCUUCUGAUCAAACUAAGACCGCACCUCCCCAGAAGGACAAUCCCUGCUGGGACAAGUUUAUCAGCCAGUCUGCUCCUGUUAUCAGAGCCAAUUUGAGCACUCUCUGGUUUAAAUUUUAGCUGUGCAACCAUGACCACAGAAAAGAGAAAGAUGAUUUUUGACAGUAUGGCCACAAUAUUCUUCAGACUCUGGAGAAAACUGGUUACAAUAAAGCUUUUCUUAAAAUUGCAAAACCAGUCCUUUUUGCAUGUACAGUUAGAAAAAGCUAGCUUGUUAAAAUAUUUUUCUCCAAAAUUCUGACGCUGAGAGAACAAAAAUAUGCCUAGGACAAAGCUUGACGUUAACUGUUACCAUGUCCUUGAGCUACAAAGCCCACUUUGCCUGAGACUUCAGCCUUGGGUUAAUUAGUAGAACUUCAAGCCAAGAAAAAAAAAAAAGAGGCAAAGAGACAUUUUAAAUCUGAAGUGGAAACUAUGAGAUCUCUGUCUGUCUGGAUACCUGUGUAUGUCUCAGUAUAUGUUUCUGUCUUUGGAUAAUAUUGCUGAGGAUAAUUUGUAAAUGAGCUCUAUAUAAUUGGCUUAAAAGAAAAGCACUUACAAAUCAAACAAUUCUAAAUACAAGAAAAAUUAAAUAAAUUUCAGGUUCACGUGACCUGGGAAUUAUUCAAUAUUAAUUAUUAAUGUUUGUUAAUCUAAUUAAUAUAGACAUGUCUUUAGAGCCAUCAACAUUAAGGAUAAUACUUUUAUUGUGCCUAGGUUUAAUAUAAACUAAAUAAGAUCUUAUUAUAUCUGUUACAAAUUUGUCAGCAAUGAAAAUAACUCGAUGUGAAGAAACUUUUAAGAAAAAAAAAUCGCAAAUGAGAUAAGAGCUUUGGGUGAACUUUUUAGGAAUACUUACGUUUUAGGAAUAUUUACUUAAGAAUGAUCUCUCCAGAUAUCUGACAACUUGAAAGUUUAGAGUUGUGCUAAAUUAAGUUAAAGGAUGCAAGUUAUUAAAUAACUAGGCCAUUUCCAAAUAAAAUAAGAUACUGAAACAUGAAUUACGGAACCUCGGCUUCCUCGUACAGAGAAACAAAAGGUUUAGAACUAUUAAAAAAUGUGUUUGGUGCCACACUGAGAUAUUUUCUAUAAGAAAGCACAUUCUUUAAAUAUCAUUUGGAUGUACGUUUACCGGUCUACAGAGUGCUGACAUAAAGGACAGUUCAUGGUUGCUUAAGGAAAGUAGGAUGUGUGUUUUUAGUAAAGAAGGUAUGAGCAAUGGAAUUGCAUUUUAUUAAGGGAAAAGGAAGCAGGUCUGAUUCACAGGUGGCUGUUUCUGAAUGGGAAAAUAAAGUGAUGGAUACAGAAAGUGAUAAAAAAGGUUUGUGGAAAGUGGACCCUGAGAAAAGAGUUUUACGCAUGGUACAAGUUUUCUUAAGGUGUUGAACUGCCUUGGAUGACAGAUUUUAAGCUUCUUUACCUUUUAAGUGAUCAGUUCGAUAUUUGCCUUUAAAUCUUUUAUUGUCCUUUGGGUAAGUGAAAAGCAAUCGUUUCACAGCGAUGUAUGAUCUUCUCUGACUGAGUGUUCUAAACCCUUUUGUGUUUUUGAUAAAACUUCCCAAAUCAAAUUGUAAUGAAGUUUCUUUGACCUCUAGCUAACUUUGGGGUGCUUCAAACGGCCUCUGAAACAUCCCAAAGAGAGAUGUUACACUAAUUAGGUUCAUUUGGUAUGUUAAAAUUACACGGGAAGUGUUGUCAAAUGUGUAAUAAAUCUUCUUAGGUUAUAUUGUAUGGUAAUUGUUACUAAUAUAGAUAUUCUAGAAAUCAUAUGGAGUUUCAAAAAUAUUCUGAUGUCCUGGUAAAAUGUUAUCAGUCAUAAUUCUAGUUAUUAUCUUAAGCAUCAUAUGUCACAACAGUAACCAAGUUACCUUGUAAAUUACAUUGUAAUCAGAGUUUUAAACUUGCCAUAAGUCUUUUGUCAUUAGAGACACAGUUUCACUCUGAAGCUUUUGCAAAGAUGCUGCUUCUUCAAGAAGAUUUAUAAGAAGAACUUUUGGAUAAAUACAAGUUUCUGACUUUCAGACCAUAAUGCUAAACUGGAUAUAAAGAAGCUCUUCUCCUCAAGCUACUUAUGGUUUACAACAAUUUGGUAAUUUACACCUACGGGUAAAAUUAAAACAUUUAUCUUUUCUCUCUAUUUGCUCCCUCCACAGAUUGGAAACUCUUAGGUCCCCAGCACCUUUAUCAGAUAAAUUAGGAAGUCUACCUCACUAAUAGGUACAGAAAUCUCAAGGUAUGUUCGGGACCUUGAAAAGGGAGGAAUUCACCUAUAUCUGAUCAGAUACCCCACGACCUACAACCAGGGGAUUAUACAUACUGGAAAAGACAUAAUUUAAAGGACUAUCUCCAGACUGGAUGGAAGGACCCUUAUCAGGUACUCUUAACUAGCUCGUACACAGUAAAACUAAAGGGAAUUAACUCUUGGGUUAAUUUCCACUCACAAAGGGCCCCUGCACUGGACUGGCCUAUAGAGAGGAUGGCUGACCUCAAAAUCACCUUAAAACAAUGCUCAAACAGAGGAGAAACUACACUCACGCGAGGAUGAGAAAAAGACAACAUCAGAAGUAGACAGCUUCCCCAAGAUCCUGGACCUGACUCAUACGCUCAUUUAUAAGGUUUUCUUGACUUCUUGGACCUUUGCAUAUGAAUCAAAUGUUUUUCUGUCAUAG